UGUGAUUUUACGCUAUGAAAUUAAUUUUGUGAUAAUGUAACAUUAGGAUAAUGGAUGAUGAUUGGGAACUUAGUGAACUUUCGACUCCGUGUCUAAUGUGAAAUUAUCAUAAAACUUAAUUUGCAUGAGCGCAAAAUGAUGUGUGCAUAAAUGGACAUUUAUAUGAUUGUCUCUAAUAAUUUGACAGACCAUGGCAUUUAAGAAUAUCAUAACUGACCUAAAUAAAGGUGACAAAUUGAAUGGCGAUAACUAUAACACUUGGCGCCAUAAAAUUUGGUACGUGCUAGAGGAACAGGAUUGCCUUGAGGGCAUUAACCACGUGAUGGAAGACCCAGGGGUGGGUCAAACUUCUCAACAAAUAAGGGAUCAAGAAACUUACCAGACAUGGAAAAAAAAAGUUCCACUGCUCGUGCAAUUUUGGUAAGUUCUGUGAAGGAUGAUCUCAUACAUGAGUGUGAGCAGUUCCCGACUGCUCAAGACAUCUGGACAUAUUUGAGAGAGAAAUACGGUGGUACUAGUGUGACUAGACUGAGGCAACAGACUAUUAAAUUUGACACCUACAAGAAACUUCCUAAUCACAAUAUCACACAACAUGUGAAGAUCAUGUCUACUAUGAUUAGGGAAUUGAAAUCAGCUGGUCAUAUACUCUCUGAUGAGCAACAAGUUCAGGCUUUGAUCCGCUCUUGUCCUAAUAAUUGGGAACAUUUGUAAGUCAAUUUGACUCAUAAUGAUAGUAUCAAAACAUUUGCUGAUGCUGCCCGCCAUGUGGAACUAGAAGAUGAGUGCCUUAGUGCAGCUAAAUCUCUAGGACAAGCUUUUGUAGUUGAAUCUAGUUCUGGGAAAGUUUCAGGCUUUAAGCGUAAGAAGAAUUGGUUCAAAGGCGGGAAAGGGAAGGGAAAAUAAACUGGACAGGGACCUAAAAAGAACAAACACAAGCGCAAUAAGAAAGGUAAAUGGUUUGGAAAGAAGAAAGAUAAGAGCAAGCUGAAAUGCUUCAACUGUCAGGUGCUGAGUCACUUUGCUCGGGAAUGCCCUGACCCAAAGAAGGUAGCUCUUAGAAAUACUUCUUUUAGUGCUGUUUAUGUUUCAAGCACUGUUAUGCUAACUGAAUCUUAUCCUAUGUGGAUUAUAGACUCAGGAGUGACUGACCAUGUAACCAGGGAUCGAGAAGCAUUUGUGGAGUUCCAUCGAUUUCCAGCUGGUACAAAGUAGAUAUAUGUCGGCAACAAUAAUAGAGUGGAGGUGAAAGGGAUCGGUACAUGCAAGUUACAUUUGCGUGGUGGCCGUACUAUUCUCCUUCAUGAUGUCCUAUUUGCACCAGAGAUACAAAGGAACUUAAUUUUCGUUGUUGUUCUUUUAAGAUUAGGUUUCAAUUUGAACUUUUGUAGUAAUUCUGUUCGUAUAAACAACGUGAUAUAUUUUAUGGAUCUGGACAUGUAGAAGGAGGCUUUGUAGUGUUGGGUUGUGAUCCAAACACUUAUAAUUAUUAUGUUGAUCG
RNAcentral lists this long non-coding RNA (1498 nucleotides) under Olea europaea subsp. europaea. Lineage: Eukaryota; Viridiplantae; Streptophyta; Magnoliopsida; Lamiales; Oleaceae. The record is from RNAcentral.